GGGCGUAGCUCAAUGGUAGAGCCCCAGCCUUCCAAGCUGAUUACGCGGGUUCGAUUCCCGUCGCCC
Molecule: transfer RNA, 66 nt
Filed under: Mobiluncus curtisii
Lineage: Bacteria; Bacillati; Actinomycetota; Actinomycetes; Actinomycetales; Actinomycetaceae
Also listed under: 1 other name
Rfam family: tRNA
About the family: Transfer RNA (tRNA) molecules are approximately 80 nucleotides in length. Their secondary structure includes four short double-helical elements and three loops (D, anti-codon, and T loops).
Source: RNAcentral